This 741-nucleotide ribosomal RNA is filed under the name uncultured bacterium. RNAcentral's name for it is "bacterial SSU rRNA". It matches the Rfam family "Bacterial small subunit ribosomal RNA", at positions 52 to 802 of the family's 1533-position model. The record is from RNAcentral.
CACAUGCAAGUCGAGCGGAGACAGUGAGUAGCUUGCUAUGAGCUGUUUUAGCGGCGGACGGGUGAGUAACGCGUGAGCAACCUUUCCCAGACAGGGGAAUAACACACCGAAAGGUGUACUAAUACCGCAUAAGACCACGGAAUCACAUGGUUCUGAGGUAAAAGAUUUAUCGGUUUGGGGUGGGCUCGCGUCCGAUUAGGUAGUUGGUGAGGUAACGGCCCACCAAGCCGACGAUCGGUAGCCGACCUGAGAGGGUGAUCGGCCACAUUGGGACUGAGACACGGCCCAAACUCCUACGGGAGGCAGCAGUGGGGAAUAUUGGGCAAUGGAGGAAACUCUGACCCAGCAACGCCGCGUGGAGGAAGAAGGUUUUCGGAUCGUAAACUCCUGUCCUUGGAGACGAGUAGAAGACGGUAUCCAAGGAGGAAGCCCCGGCUAACUACGUGCCAGCAGCCGCGGUAAUACGUAGGGGGCAAGCGUUGUCCGGAAUAAUUGGGCGUAAAGGGCGCGUAGGCGGCUCGGUAAGUCUGGAGUGAAAGUCCUGCUUUUAAGGUGGGAAUUGCUUUGGAUACUGUCGGGCUUGGGUGCAGGAGAGGUUAGUGGAAUUCCCAGUGCAGCGGUGAAAUGCGUAGAGAUUGGGAGGAACACCAGUGGCGAAGGCGACUAACUGGACUGUAACUGACGCUGAGGCGCGAAAGUGUGGGGAGCAAACAGGAUUAGAUACCCUGGUAGUCCACACUG